GGAGUCUGGGCCGUGUCUCAGUCCCAUUGUGGCUGAUCAUCCUCUCAAACCAGCUACUGAUCGUCGCCUUGGUGGUCCAUUACACCCCCAACUAGCUAAUCAGAUGCAGACUCAUCCCUGAGCACCGGAGUUUUCAAACAUAAUAUCUCAAUUACGCUCGUAUGGGGUAUUAAUAGUCGUUUCCAACUGCUAUCCCCCGCCUCAAGGGCAGAUUCUCUACACAUUACUCACCCGUCCGCCACUGUCCACCCACCGAAGUGAGCUUCUCGUUCGACUUGCAUGUAUGAAGCACGCCGCCAGCGUCG
This 305-nucleotide ribosomal RNA is filed under the name uncultured cyanobacterium. Its description in RNAcentral is "partial 16S ribosomal RNA". Lineage: Bacteria; Bacillati; Cyanobacteriota. The record is from RNAcentral.